This 492-nucleotide ribosomal RNA is filed under the name uncultured bacterium. RNAcentral describes it as "bacterial SSU rRNA". It matches the Rfam family "Bacterial small subunit ribosomal RNA", at positions 903 to 1397 of the family's 1533-position model. The record is from RNAcentral.
AAAUGAAUAGACGGGGACCCGCACAAGCAGCGGAGCAUGUGGUUUAAUUCGAAGCAACGCGAAGAACCUUACCAGAACUUGACAUCCUUCUGACCGAUACUUAAUCGUAUCUUCUCUUCGGAGCAGAAGUGACAGGUGGUGCAUGGUUGUCGUCAGCUCGUGUCGUGAGAUGUUGGGUUAAGUCCCGCAACGAGCGCAACCCUUGCUAUUAGUUGCCAUCAUUAAGUUGGGCACUCUAAUGGGACUGCCGGGGAAAACUCGGAGGAAGGUGGGGAUGACGUCAAAUCAUCAUGCCCCUUAUGUUCUGGGCUACACACGUGCUACAAUGGCCGGUACAGAAGGCAGCGAAACCGUGAGGUGGAGCGAAUCUCAAAAACCGGUCCCAGUUCGGACUGCAGGCUGCAACCCGCCUGCACGAAGUCGGAGUUGCUAGUAAUCGCGGAUCAGAAUGCCGCGGUGAAUGCGUUCCCGGGUCUUGUACACACCGCCCGU